RNAcentral lists this transfer RNA (76 nucleotides) under Parasutterella muris. RNAcentral describes it as "Parasutterella sp. NM82_D38 tRNA-Glu". It matches the Rfam family "tRNA". Rfam says of the family: Transfer RNA (tRNA) molecules are approximately 80 nucleotides in length. Their secondary structure includes four short double-helical elements and three loops (D, anti-codon, and T loops). RNAcentral also lists the same sequence under 1 other name. The record is from RNAcentral. Lineage: Bacteria; Pseudomonadati; Pseudomonadota; Betaproteobacteria; Burkholderiales; Sutterellaceae.
GUCCCGAUCGUCUAGAGGCCUAGGACAUAACCCUCUCAAGGUUAGAACACGAGUUCGAAUCUCGUUCGGGACGCCA